ACCUGGCUGGCUCAGUCGGAAGAGCAUGGGACUCUUGAACUUGGGGUAGUGAGUUUGAGCCCCAUGUCAGGUG
Molecule: transfer RNA, 73 nt
Filed under: Ailuropoda melanoleuca (giant panda)
Lineage: Eukaryota; Metazoa; Chordata; Mammalia; Carnivora; Ursidae
Rfam family: tRNA
About the family: Transfer RNA (tRNA) molecules are approximately 80 nucleotides in length.
Source: Rfam by way of RNAcentral